RNA transcript from Macadamia integrifolia, 1805 nucleotides. RefSeq lists it as uncharacterized. The transcript is spliced from 4 exons. The record is from RefSeq and is a predicted model, not a curated record. Lineage: Eukaryota; Viridiplantae; Streptophyta; Magnoliopsida; Proteales; Proteaceae.
GGUUAUCCGAAUCCUUUUUAAUCAGCUUUUUAUUUCUAGGUUGAAAACCUGUGCUAAAAAAUGAACUCUUAGUAGCUCAACCCUGAUCCUUGUUGCAAGCCAUGAGUCUAGCCAGAUUACAUGAGGAUAUAUUUAUACAAACCAGAUCCUCUUUUAGAACUCCCUUGCCAAGAUUAGGAUCGCAUGGAUCAGAAACCCAUGUUACGGAAUCACCAAAAAAAUUACCUACACCAACCCCCAAAUUUCAGAUUAAAAGAUUGACCCAAGCUCAGUUAAAGGUUCGAAGAGAUAAAGGUCUUUGCUACAACUAUGAUGAAAUGUUUGUGGCAGGCCAUAAGUGUAAAGGCAGAAUGUUUAUGCUCUCUACUGACGAAGAGGAGUUAUUAGAGAUCAUUGACAAUGAGUUGAUUGAAGAACCCUUAUGCUCUAACAUUGAUGAUUUGGUGCAAAAAAUUCCAGAAAUCAGUUUUCAUGCUUUAGCUGGUCAUAUUAGUCCUCAAACCAUUAGAUUAACCGGGAGAUUUGGGGAACACAAGCUAUAAAUUUUGGUGGACAGUGGGAGCACUCAUAACUUUUAUCCAGGAAUCCACGACUCUUAAAAUGGGAUGCCCUAUCAGUCCUCCAUCAUUUAAGGUCUACAUUGGAAAUGGGCAGCACCUUUGCUGUGAUAAGAAAUGCAGGGACAUUUCCAUCAUAAUCCAAGGCUAUGCUUUCACAUUUGAUUUAUUUGUCUUUCCCAUUCAAGGAGCUAAUGUGGUCUUAGGGGUUCAAUGGUUGGAAUUGUUGGGCCAUGUUCUUACUGAUUACAAGGAAUCUUCUAUGGCCUUCACCUGGCAAGGUCAACAGAUUAAGUUGACAGAGGAGUCAUCUCUUAAGGAUGCAGCUUUACCUAUCGGUCAAUUGAGGAAGCUAAUUGGAAAGGUGGAGAUAGCCUCCUUGUUCCAUUUUAAGGUUUUGGAGGCUAAUAAAGAAGAGAGGCCCAAUUGGAAGCACCUACCUGUGGCAAUAUAGUUAACACUCAAUGCUUUUCCGAUGGUAUUUGAGAAACCUAUUCUGCUACCUCCAACUCGAGGCAACGAUCAUGGUAGUCACCUGGUUCCGAGAGCUCAAUCAGUGAAUGUGAGUGUGCGACCCUACAGAGCUGGAAGGUCUUCGUGGUCACUGGUGAGUCUCAUCAACAUCACGCCCAAAGCAACAAGAACGGAAGGGGUAAGGAUUGAUCGCCGACUCUUUUUGUUCUUUAUUAUCAUCUUUGUUGAGGCUCGAUAAACUCUGAUGAAACUCUAAAUUCUGAAGUGGCAUAGCUAGCUCUGAGGUUUCAACGUCAGAAACCCUAGCGGGUAGCAGCUACUCUCCCUCUCCAACACACUAGGGUAGAGCCAUUUUCUCUCCCUCUCCACAGUUCUGGGACUCUGUCGGUUACAGAAACAUUAACUCUCCUCUCCAACUGAAAGAGGAGUUUUCCAAGCAAUGUCCUAUCUGAAGCUCCAGCUGAGAAGAAGGUUUCAACAGUGGAGUUGCCAAGACUGUUGCUAGAGUACCCAUUGGCAUGCCUUGAGCACCAGUGUACAUUACGCGGUCUGGACCCCACAUAGACGAAUCUAGUGGCAGCAUCUUGAGAAGUAGCAGUAGCAGCACCACCACCAUUAGCAAAGUGGGAUGGAGUUUAUAUUUUUCUUUUUACCAAUUGAAUUUUCGUACCACAUCAUUGAUCAGGCCUAGUUCCCCAUACGGGGACAUCCUCGACAACAAUGCUUCUUCACUUACUCUAGAACCCAUCAAGCUUUCUAAUUCAUUACGAACCA